CCCUAUCCCCUCCCACUCCAUCGUCGCCACUCCAUCCUCUCCCGCUCGCGCAUGCUCACUGCCACCACGUCCGCCCUGCACCCGCACUCAGGGCACAGCGGCCUUCUCCCCGCUCGCAGCCCUCCUCGCCUCAUCCAAGGCCGCCUCCUCAUUCUACUCCGACGAUGACGGCGGGAUAGUCCAGCGGGGCCCGACACGGGCCUCGUCUGUCCCGACCCCCGCCAUCGCCCCGGCCAGGGCCACCUCCGCGCUGGUCCCGGCAGACGAGCGGGGCUCCCUCUUCGCCACAGAACCCGGGCCGUCCGAGUUCGCGUCCUCCUCGUCGCCAUUCGCGGCGGCCAGGGGAUCUCCACGGCGUCCUCGUCAUCUGCAGCGGCCAGGGGAUCUCCGCGGUGUCCUUGUCGUCGUCCACGGACCCCACCCCUGCCGAGCAUGAGAUCUCCCGAGCAGGCCCUCCCACCGGCCGUCACCGGGCCAUCUCCACCGCGCCACCGUCCCUCCACCGACAGACACGUCUCUCUCUCUCUCUCUAACCGGCCGUGUUCUCUGCACCAGGUUCAGCUCCUCCGGCGGCAAGGUGCUCGGCGAGGAGAAGGACGCAGGAACUUGACCUAGAAGCAAGGUGCUCAGCUCCUCCAGCGACGACCAGGCCGAUUUGUUCUCUGUUCCCCUCCCCGCCUCCCUCCACCCAUCUGUUGUACAUUCACAUGUGCUUGUGGAGGAGGCCAAGGCGCUGUAAGACAAGGCCAUCUUCAAGGUGCUCGAUCUGGUAUGAUCUUUUAACCUCGGAAGGUUGAACCUCUCACUGGCGACGGCCGUCAUCGGUGAGCUGCUAGUUGCCUCGGCCUCCCGCGGCAUCUCCGACCACCCCUACUCUUCUGACAAGCACAGGCUGCAGCUCCUAGAGAGGGUGCACGAAUGCCACUUCUUCCACCAGCGACCCUCCCCUCUGCGCCCAGCCUGUGGAACACUUCGACGCCAUCUUUGGAGCCGCCAAUGUCUUACUGCAGAUGACUGAUGAGCUGAUCUUCUUCCACUAGUGGUAGCGGGAGGUGAUGCUGGAGCAGUACAUCGAUCAGCAGAUCAUCCUGCCAUUUGGGCAGGGAGAUGCUGGGAUAGCCCUAAUGCAGUAACAUCACCAUGUGGCAAAUCCAGUAGAUUGACACAACAUUGGUGCUUGGGUGAUGGGACAAAGUAUGUGUACUAGUGAUGGUACACGAUAUUCGUGCUUCUCAUUGAUGUUAUGUGUGAUCAGCUAAAAUUGGUGCUUCUUGUCCAAUCUAUGUUGAUGUGCAUCUAUGUUGAUGUGCGCUUGUGCACUUGUUGGGCCUUGAACCUUGCUGUGUAGACGAGUCGAUUGAUGAUGUAUUGUAUUUCAUGUGAUGUGUUACUAAAAUAAAAUAUAUGAAAUAUUGUAUUAUGUUGUA
Aegilops tauschii subsp. strangulata is the source of this 1427-nucleotide long non-coding RNA. RefSeq lists it as uncharacterized. NCBI's taxonomy places the organism in Eukaryota, Viridiplantae, Streptophyta, Magnoliopsida, Poales, Poaceae. The record is from RefSeq and is a predicted model, not a curated record.